Nelumbo nucifera (sacred lotus) is the source of this 319-nucleotide long non-coding RNA. RefSeq lists it as uncharacterized. The record is from RefSeq and is a predicted model, not a curated record. NCBI's taxonomy places the organism in Eukaryota, Viridiplantae, Streptophyta, Magnoliopsida, Proteales, Nelumbonaceae.
UAUGCUAUUGCAAAGUUUGCUGAAAGCUUUGAGAUGGUACCUAAAACUUUGGCUCAGAAUGCUGGGCUGAAUGCAAUGGAGAUCAUUUCCACCCUUUAUGCAGAUCAUGCAGCUGGAAAGACAAAAGUGGGUAUUGACUUGGAGGAAGGUGUUUGCAAGGAUGUAACUGCUAUGGAUAUUUGGGACCUCCAUGUGACCAAGUUCUUUGCCCUCAAAUAAGCGGCAGAUGCUGCCUGCACUGUGCUUCGGGUAGACCAGAUUAUAAUGGCAAAACCAGCGGGUGGUCCAAAGAGAGAUCAACCUGCAGCGGUGGACGAGG